This 202-nucleotide ribosomal RNA is filed under the name uncultured Glomus. RNAcentral's name for it is "partial 18S ribosomal RNA". It matches the Rfam family "Eukaryotic small subunit ribosomal RNA", at positions 569 to 766 of the family's 1831-position model. Lineage: Eukaryota; Fungi; Glomeromycota; Glomeromycetes; Glomerales; Glomeraceae. The record is from RNAcentral.
AGCAGCCGCGGUAAUUCCAGCUCCAAUAGCGUAUAUUAAAGUUGCUGCAGUUAAAAAGCUCGUAGUUGGAUUUCUGGCUUGAAACACUUGGCCGGCCACGGUUUCGUGUGCUUGUGCUUUGUGUUCUGGCCAUCCUUCCAAUUGCUAUCUACCUUUCUUCAUUGAUUGGUAGGUGGUAUUGGAUCUUUUACUUUGAAAAAAU